CUGUAUUAUUGUUCCAUCUGAUUAGUCUUCUUCCACCAAGCUCAGCUUCUUUCGAAUCUCUCUUUUGCUGAAACUAAUGGCAACUUGGAUGGCUGCUGCUCGUGCAGCUAUAGGCCGCACAAGUAAUUAUCAAAUAUCUCGUCAAAUGUUAUCUUCAUCGGGGAAUCGAAAUUCCAAAACUAAUCCACCGACGAGGUCUAGCUACCGGUCCAGAUCAUCAGGUAUCCCCAAAGGUGGAUCUGAAGCAGGAAGGCAAAGCUAAUAAAGAAGGUUAUUAUGUCGUAUACACCGGCCUGUAUUUUAUUCAUUACUACAUAUAUCUAGCAAUUAUCGACUAUGGAAGUGACGAGGAGAGGGAUGAGAAAGUGGUUAGAUACCUCGAUGAUAAAGUCCCGGCAAGUUAAAAUGGUUUCCGGCAACAGAACGCUCAAAAUUCAACCAUCUGAAGAUGCAUCAAUUCAUGAGUUUCACUCUUAUCAUCUGUUGUUGUUCAAAACUUUCACCUGCUUCGUUGUAAGAUUUGUUUUUAAUAAAAAUCAACCGAUUAGAUUACUCGGUAGCUACUU
Papaver somniferum (opium poppy) is the source of this 566-nucleotide long non-coding RNA. RefSeq lists it as uncharacterized. The transcript is spliced from 4 exons. The record is from RefSeq and is a predicted model, not a curated record. NCBI's taxonomy places the organism in Eukaryota, Viridiplantae, Streptophyta, Magnoliopsida, Ranunculales, Papaveraceae.